This 396-nucleotide ribosomal RNA is filed under the name Lutzomyia longipalpis. Its description in RNAcentral is "eukaryotic LSU rRNA". It matches the Rfam family "Eukaryotic large subunit ribosomal RNA", at positions 366 to 665 of the family's 3401-position model. The record is from RNAcentral. Lineage: Eukaryota; Metazoa; Arthropoda; Insecta; Diptera; Psychodidae.
GAAAAGAACUUUGGAGAGAGAGUUAAAAAGUACGUGAAACCGUAUAGGGGUUAAGCCCGUUGAAUCUAAAUAUCCGAUAGAUGAAAUUCAAUACAAUACCUCACGGUGUCGUAUGCACUUUUCAUCUAGUAGGACACUGCAAUCCGUUAGAUUAAAUAUAGUUGCUUGCAUACUAUAUUUGAACUUAUCAAUGGAAUUCUCUUAGGUUGUUUAUCUGUUAAUAGUACUCAACAUACUAUUCGAUAAAUCUAUUUAGGAAUUUCGAUAAUGUACGACUGACGGAUUAACAAAAAUCAUACAACAUGCAUAUGUAAUUUACUUCGGUGAAUUUGUAUGUAUUUGAUUUGCAGUGCACUAUAGAUUUAGAUACCUUCGGGGCCCGUCUUGAAACACGGA